RNAcentral lists this long non-coding RNA (1568 nucleotides) under Homo sapiens (human). Its description in RNAcentral is "PREDICTED lncRNA (TCONS_00191796)". Lineage: Eukaryota; Metazoa; Chordata; Mammalia; Primates; Hominidae. The record is from RNAcentral.
GAAGCCAGGCCAAGAAGAAUCCCAGGACUGGAAGGCCUUGUGGGACGUCCCAGGUUUGUCUUGUGUCAAUAGCACUGAUACUCAAUCUCCUACUCCCAUCUGUGAGCAUGCAGACCCUACUUGCCUUCCCACAGCCUCCCUUUUCAUAUUUUUCAUGUUUCUUUAGCUCUGUCUUCAAGCCUUGUUGCUCCCGCAAAAAAACCUGCCUCUUCCUCCAGUCCUCCCAAGCAGGGGGAACAGUCCUGACACCUUUCCAAGCCCUGGUCCAUGGACAUUGUGCCCCCUUCUCCCUGCCCAUGGUGACCUGCUCCAAAACCCUCAAGGAGAAGGGAGUGUAUGUCAUUUCCUCCCUGUAAAGUAAAGAUAAUUUUGCAGGGGACUGUGUGGAUGAAAUGACAUGAUGCAUGGAAAUCCCUUAGCGUGUGCCUGGCAUGUAAACUGCAGGUGUCAUCAUUAUUACUGAGGAAUACUGAGUCCCGAACAUGGCUGUCUCAUUGGUGGACUGGGGUCUCCCCCAGGGCAUUCAUCUACUAUGUGUUUAUUGCACCCUUUUUCCAUGUGAGGCACAUGCCAGGGACUGGGCACAUGGUAUGAACAAGACACAGGUCAUCGGUGUCCUCUUGAGCUCCCUGGCUUGGCAGCAGAUGCAUACCUGGGAAGGAUGCUAGGUCAUCCGGGAACUCUACCUCCUUCAAAUCCCUAAGGACUGUGCUCCCAAUCCGCUUACGCUCAAGGAAGAACUGGAAGGCCCAGAACCAGCCUGCUGUCAGGAUCAGAACAAAAGAGGAGGACUGCAUAUGUAUGGACCCACUCCAGAUGGCACGGGGACGGGGGGAGUAGGAAAAGUGGCAUGGUCCCUUCCCGUGGAUAUAAUUCUUCCCAGGCCUGUUGUGUGAGUUGGUGAUGCCAUCAUUCCUGCCUCACACUUGCAAACUUCCCUCUUUGGAAUUUCAGAGACCAGGCCCACAGAGUAUGGCUGUGCAAGUUGUUCACUCUACAAGGGCACCUGGCCGGGCUCUCUGGUGGAGCCUCUGUCUCACAGGUCACCUGCAGGCCAACACUCCCAGAAGCAGCUAGCACCAUGGUUGACCUCGUCCAGGUCCAGGGAAGGCCUCCCUCUCCAGGACUCCUUUAGAUUUCCCCAGCAUCCAGACCUCACCUGCCUAAGUGCUGUUGCCCUGGAAGCCACAGUGAGCACGAGCUCCAUCUUGCACCUUUACCAGCCAAUGGGGGUAAAGACAUUAGCUGCUCGCUGGACAGUCCCGUCAGACACAGACAUGAAACUCCUGCGAGAAGACCAAGCCCUGGAUAAUAUCACCACUCAUCCUGUGGCACUUCAUUACAUUCCGGCUGGGGAUAUUUGAAUAUUAGAUAUUAAGCAAUUCCUGUCAAUUUUGUUAGGUGUGUAAUGACAGUAUCAUAGUUAUAUAGAAGAGUGUCCUUUGGUUUUAGAGAUGCAUUCUGAAAUGAUUUGGGGUAAAAGGUCAGGAGGUUUAUAAUUUACUUUAAAAUACUUCAGCCCAAAAGCAAAUGAAGCAUAUAUUAAUUGUUAGAUGUUAACAAUUGUC